RNAcentral lists this long non-coding RNA (382 nucleotides) under Androctonus crassicauda. The record is from RNAcentral. Lineage: Eukaryota; Metazoa; Arthropoda; Arachnida; Scorpiones; Buthidae.
GUCUAUCGUCGCUUUCAGCUUACUGGUUUGGCGAUUCCUCAUCUUCCGGUGAUUUAACGUUGUCCUAAUAACGUCCCAUCUGAAUUUUUCUUUAUGUACCUCAUCGAAUUCCGUUAAAACAUGAUCUAUGUAGGGAGCCAUGUCACAUAAGUUGGGCGCCACAUGGGGAACCGUCAUAGGGCCCAUGAGUAAGAGGUCUUUAACCGGUGUAGGAGCAUCAAAGUUACCAACUAUGGUAGCUACAUCUUCAAACUUAAGGUUCUGUGAACGUGGGCCAACAUGCUGUUUAUACAAGAUCCGUUUGAACUUUUUAACAUAUCUGUUCCUUGUUUGUUGCUUGAAUCGAUUUAAUUGCAUCUUACUGUGGUCUAACAUAGGCUGU